Molecule: long non-coding RNA, 2811 nt
Organism: Acinonyx jubatus (cheetah)
Lineage: Eukaryota; Metazoa; Chordata; Mammalia; Carnivora; Felidae
Exons: 3
Source: RefSeq, a predicted model, not a curated record
AAGGGCAAUGAAAUGGGCAACCGUGGCCGAUGUUUUUGCGGUACUUAGUCCAUGCAGGGACCGCCCUCAGGGGCUUUAUUCCUUGCAAUGGCCUAUGAAUGAGGUAUUAUUAUCAUCAGCUCCAUUUGACGGUGAGGAGACUGGGGCAGGGUGAGCUUACGCGACUCGCUCCGUGCCCUCCUGCAGGCAGUGGCGGAGCCCGCCUUCGGCCAGAGGCUGUGGCGUCUGCAUCCGGGAGCUCAGCCACGUGCACCUGGAAGGGGGUCUUAAUCCUGAGUGCGUCAGACUCACGUGCCAGUCCUGCAAAUACCUGCUGAGUCAGACUCCCCAGCCUAAGCGUUUGCAAUCAACCUCUGUGCCUCGGCACGGUCGGUGCUGGAACACAGGCAUUCCCCACUCUGGCUUCCUUCUCCUGACUCACUGGCUCUUCACCAAGUUCUAGGACUGGACUAUUAGGGUUGCCUCUGACCCAUUCCUGACGCAUCUAUGUCACCAGCCCGCAUGUCAGGAGGAACAGGUUCUAGUUGCCUCAGGGGGAAACAGCCGUCCUGGGAUCAUCCUUCUCCACCUGUCUGAAGCUAUACCCGGUCAUGUGACCAGUGCGAGAGCUACUGUGAGCCACGGUGGAUGUGUCACCCAACGUCUCGGUCUUUUAAGUAAACUACACCUGACAACACCGUGUUAUCCCGAGCUCCUUCAGUUUCCUGGAAACUCCCAGGAUGUUUCAGAAGGCAGAGUUCAGCUGUAACUUGGAUGGUGUUUACUUUAUCUCUCUAACACUAGGAGAGCGAUCGCUCUGCCCGUCACCGUCCCUGCUGUGUCCUGAGUGCUAGAAGCCAGCCAGGAACCACACCUAGAACACUCCAAAGGUACUAUUUUAACGCUGUUUCACAAGUCAAGAAACCAAGAUCAGCUACAGAGCUUGAGGGACUCAGAGCAAAAUGAAGACGACAAAUGGAAAUUAUGAGGAAUAUCAAGAUGAUGACAGCAGAGCAUUGCACCAGGCGCAAUCACAUAGGACCCAUGAAACGGGCCCUGGAGGAAACCAAGGGCCAGAGAAGUUAAGUUACUUUCCCAAGGUCACACAGCAAGUUUUGGAGCCUCUAAAAAUCCUUUAUUUAUUGUAAACUCCCUGCAGGCAGGGGCUUUGAGGUCACUGGUGGCAUGUUCUGGUCCCGGGUCCUCAGGUCUCCAUGAGUUUGAUGGCCAAGUCCCCUCUCUGAUUGUUUCUGAACGCAAGAAAACGAGAACCAAAUUAUAAAUGGAUAAGCUAAACACGAGUUUUAUUUACAGCUAUGGCAUUCAGUGCUGCAAAAGAAUUUAAGGAGCUAACCUAUUUUUUGUUUCUAUGAAAGAGACUUCAUUUUUUCUGUGAGAUUCUUUGCUGGUGAUGGGAAGAAAGGAGAGAUAAAAUCUCAGGGGCACAUCAAUGCAUUAAUCAUGGUCCUAAUCUCAUGACCUGUUAUUAUUAUUAUUAUGCCCUUUUAGUUUAACUAUUCUUUGUUUAUUUUCAGUGCAGUAACGAUUACCUCUGAACUCACCCAAGAACUAGCUUAUUGCUGAUAAUUCAUAUCUCCUCUGGGCUCCUUACCCGUAUCAUUUUCCCAUCUCAGAUGUGAUCACUGUCCCGAAUGUCACAUGUCCUGGUUGCUAGUUUUCAGAUGUGUUACAUUUGCAUGCCUGGCUAAAUAAUGUAUUGUUUGCUUAAAAGCAAAUUCAUAGAAAGGGUAUUUUGAAAUUCAUAGAAAGGGUAUUUUAUGCCGUCUUCUGAGACUUGCUUUUUUGACUCAAGAAUAGCUGAAAAGAGUCCAUUGCCGUGUCGUUACAUAGACUGGUAUUUUAUUUAUUUUCACUAGUAUAGAACAUUCCAUUAUCUGGACAGACUAUAAUGUAGUUAUCCAUUGCCCUCUCAUGGGCAUUCAGGUUGUUUCAGAUUUUUGCUAUUAAAAAGAGAGCUUCCGGGGCGCCUGGGUGGCUCAGUCGGUUGAGCGUCUGACUUUGGCUCAGGUCAUGAUCUCACAGCUUGUGAGUUCAGGUCCUGUGUCGGGCUUUGUGCUGACAGCUUGGAGCAUUCUGUCUCUGUCUCUCUCAAAAAUAAAUAAACAUUAAAAAAAAAAAGAGAGAGAGAGAGCUUCCAUGAAAUUCUCAGGUAAGUACAUGAGUCAAAUUUUGCCUUGGGUAUAUACCCAGGAGUGCAAUUGCUGAUUCAUAGGGUAUAGUAAUGUAUAGUAAUGCUAAAAUUUGCAAGAGAAUGCCAAAUCACUUCCCAAAAUUACUGCUCCAAAGUAUACCCCCUGGUGAUCAUAGGGGAUCCCACUGAUCUCCAUCUCCCACAUAUGGUAUUGUCAACUUUUAUAAUUUUUCCAGUUGAAUGAGUGUUGAAUGAAUAAAUGAUCGACUAAUGGGGAUACUAUAGAUUGUUCAGAAAAAAUAAGUUCCUAUGGUCAAUCAAUAACCUUUAACUUUAGGUCAAUCAAUAAACUAAGCAAAUUAAGUGUGCUUUAAAAUGUUGCCAAGAAGACAAAAUGAAAAAUUUCAAGUAAACUGUUGCAAAAAUCUUACAAAAACUACAAUCAUUCCAUCUGUUAGGAAAUGCCAUAAAAUAUAAAUAGUUAAAAAAACAAAAGAUAGGGGCGCCUGGGUGGCCCAGUCAGUUAAGCCUCUGACUUCGGCUCAGGUCAUGGUCUCUCAGUUAGUGGGUUCCAGCCCUGCAUUGGGGCUCUGUGCUGACAGCUCAGAGCCUGGGGCCUGCUUCGGAUUCUGUGUCUCCCACUUGCUCGCUGCCCCUGGCCUGCUUGCGCUCUGUCUCUG